This 429-nucleotide ribosomal RNA is filed under the name Actinomycetes bacterium. RNAcentral's name for it is "Actinobacteria bacterium partial 16S ribosomal RNA". It matches the Rfam family "Bacterial small subunit ribosomal RNA", at positions 355 to 776 of the family's 1533-position model. The record is from RNAcentral. Lineage: Bacteria; Bacillati; Actinomycetota; Actinomycetes.
UAGGGAAUCUUCCGCAAUGGGCGAAAGCCUGACGGAGCAACGCCGCGUGAGUGAUGAAGGUCUUCGGAUCGUAAAACUCUGUUAUUAGGGAAGAACAAAUGCGUAAGUAACUAUGCACGUCUUGACGGUACCUAAUCAGAAAGCCACGGCUAACUACGUGCCAGCAGCCGCGGUAAUACGCAGGUGGCAAGCGUUAUCCGGAACUAUUGGGCGUAAAGCGCGCGUAGGCGGUUUUUUAAGUCUGAUGUGAAAGCCCACGGCUCAACCGUGGAGGGUCAUUGGAAACUGGAAAACUUGAGUGCAGAAGAGGAAAGUGGAAUUCCAUGUGUAGCGGUGAAAUGCGCAGAGAUAUGGAGGAACCCCAGUGGCUAAGGCGACUUUCUGGUCUGUAACUGACGCUGAAAUGCGAAAGCAUGGAGAUCUAGCAGG